UACGGAGGGGGCGAGCGUUAUUCGGAUUCAUUGGGCGUAAAGGGUGCGUAGGUGGCGAGGUUAGUCAGGUGUGAAAUCUCGGGGCUCAACCCCGAAACUGCACUUGAUACUGCCUUGCUAGAGUACUGGAGAGGAGAUUGGAAUUUACGGUGUAGCAGUGAAAUGCGUAGAUAUCGUAAGGAAGACCAGUGGCGAAGGCGAAUCUCUGGACAGUUACUGACACUGAGGCACGAAGGCCAGGGGAGCAAACGGG
Molecule: ribosomal RNA, 253 nt
Filed under: uncultured bacterium
Lineage: Bacteria
Description: partial 16S ribosomal RNA
Rfam family: Bacterial small subunit ribosomal RNA
Source: RNAcentral